Molecule: ribosomal RNA, 253 nt
Filed under: uncultured bacterium
Lineage: Bacteria
Description: partial 16S ribosomal RNA
Rfam family: Bacterial small subunit ribosomal RNA
Source: RNAcentral
UACGUAGGGGGCAAGCGUUGUCCGGAAUCAUUGGGCGUAAAGAGCGUGUAGGCGGCCCGAUAAGUCCGCUGUGAAAGUCCAGGGCUCAACCCUGGGAUGCCGGUGGAUACUGUCGGGCUCGAGUCCGGAAGAGGAGUGUGGAAUUCCUGGUGUAGCGGUGAAACGCGCAGAUAUCAGGAGGAACACCAAUGGCGAAGGCAGCACUCUGGGACGUGACUGACGCUGAGGCGCGAAAGCGUGGGGAGCAAACAGG